Molecule: long non-coding RNA, 1751 nt
Organism: Carassius auratus (goldfish)
Lineage: Eukaryota; Metazoa; Chordata; Actinopteri; Cypriniformes; Cyprinidae
Exons: 3
Source: RefSeq, a predicted model, not a curated record
GGUCAGCUCUAAAUGGGUGGGACUUCAGCUCCAAGUGGGCUGUACAAGCCUCCAGAGCCUUUUGAUUGGUUUAUUUAAUGUCAUGGGGUUAAUGCACGCUGCGAACCCCACCCCCCCAUCCCACCAAAAAAAAGAUUAAAAAAAAUAAAAAGACGACGUCAACUUCCCAAGGCUUUUCAGCGUCAAGAAAGAGGAGUUUGAAGGGGAUUUACGCUGCAGAUUACGGACACUGAAGACCAUAAGCAGAAAGUUCAAGUCUGGGUGGCCAAAAGUUAAAUUUCAGUGAUCUGGUUACCGCCUCUCUCUGCAAACCCAAAGGAUCACUUUCCUGUAAACUUUUUUUUUGUUCUUUCUAUGCAUCAAGAUGUGUAAUUUAUUUUUUCUGAAGAUUUUUGACUAAUGUGUGUGUGUGUGUGUGUGUGUAUGUGGGUACUUGUGUGGAUAAAUUAUGUUCAUACUUUAAAGGUGGACAUUUGCAACAGCGCUUGUCCCUAAAAUUGCUCCAGGGGUAUGGUCAGAGACUAUCCUAAAUGACAAAUGAUGGAAUGUAAAUGACAUUACAUUCUGUAGACAUCUCACAUAAAUGUGCAUUGUACUUUAGUUAAUAUUAACUUGUCAACAGUGAAUUAUUUUAGGAUGUCAUUGGACUGAAUGUUUAGUGACUAAUGACACUUCAUUCCAGUAAAAAUAUAAUCCAUAGCCUUGGAGUGAAAGCAGCAGCAAAGUGUUCCAAUGCUGAUAAAAAUCAAGCUGGUUAAAACCUCAGGUUCCUUAAAUAUCUGUUCUACAGGACUGUUUGGGGUUGGACAGAUUUUGUAAUGGUUUUGAAGUCUGAUGCUCACCAGACCUUCAUUUAUUUGUUCAGAAAUGCAGUAGAAACAGUCAUAUUGUAAAUUGUAAUAAUAUUUUACAAUAACUCUUUUCUAUUUGAGGCAGCAACCGAUCUACCCCAAUCAUCAUUAACGGAACGGGACCCCAGUGGAGAGAGUGAGCAGCUUCAAUACCUUCAAAUGCCCUGCAAAGAGUAGCUGAGCACAUCUCCAGAACAUCUAUCCCCUCUCUGCAAGACAUCCACACCAGAAGAUGUAAAUCUAGGGCUGUUAAGAUCCUUAAAGACCCCACCCACCCUGGAAAUCCACUGUGUCAUCUGCUACAGUCAGGCAGACGCUUCUGCAGUCUGAUGGCAAAGAAGGAGAGGCUCAGGAGAAGUUUCUUCCCUCAUGUUAUCAGACUACUAAACAUGGACAUUAACACACUGCACUUUAUAGACUGUUUGUUUAGGGUUACAUAAUAACUCUCUGCACACUGCGCUUUUUUUUGACAACCUAACUAUGCAACUCAUCCUCACUGCACAUUGUUUACAUCUCUGCACAUCUUCUGUGUAGCAGUUUCUGUGUAGCAUCUCUACAAAUCAUCUGUAUAGUAGUUUAAUACAGUAUAUUGUGUAUAUUUCAUUAUUUGUAUUUAAUUUUUUUUUUUUUUGCACAGUCUAAAAAGAGUAUGGCAGACCUACAUUUCACUGCUUUUUGCAUGUCAUAUAACAAAUAAAACUUGAGUUUUUAAUAGUGUGGAGCAUUACCUGUGAUUUGAGUUGGUGAUAAAAGGAGAUGGGGGAAAAGGGUGUCUUAAAUUGGACUUUGGUACCAAUAAUAUUUUCCUCUUAAGUCUUGGAAUGUUUUUUUAUUAUUAUUAAUUCUUGUAUAACUAUUUAGAUUUUUUUUUCUUUUUUUAAAUUAAAUGUUUAUUUGCAA